CGCAAAAACAAAACAGCUGUUAUUGAUUGUUACUUACAUCGAACGUAUAAAUGGAUUAUUUAUACGUUCAUCAAUUUUGAGAAGGCAAGCGAUUUAUUGGGUUAUUUACGUCGGUCACACGUGACCUUUACAGUUUUUACGUACAUAUUCGGAUUUGCACCUGCUGCGCAAUAUUGUUUAAUAUAAAGCAAGAAAAAGGCCGAUGGAAAUCGAAAGAUGUGCAAGAGGCGCCGGGUCCCCUUAACAAUAAAUUGGAGGUGUACGCUGUCGCUAUAAAAAUAGGUAAUCUCAAAUUUCACUUAUUCUUACCUGUAAUGCAAAUUGAGUGAACAGUUACAGGUUCGUGGGAAUUAAUAAUGGAUAAAGAGUCCAGAGAUAAACCGUUAAUGGAACGAAGCUCAUGUUCUACGACUCUUGUAAGGAACAAGCACAUCGACAAGUUGAUGCUCCUUCGUAAUGGAAAUUGUGUCGAGUUCAAUCGUGAUAUAUCUACUAACACGAUAAGUUAAAUAUGUAAUCUCCAUUGAAUGAGAGAUUUGUAUAUUUACAAGAUGCUAAUACAUGUACCUGUGUAGAAACACGAGCACGUGAGACAUUGUUAGACACGUAUCUCGUUCUGUUUGAUGGGUGCACCGUAGUAUGUAAACGAUGACGUCGCUAACAAAGUUACACAAAGAUUGUCAAAAAAAAUGUGUAUCCUGAUAAUUAAACGAUUAUCCUAUUCGUCA
This is a long non-coding RNA of Photinus pyralis (common eastern firefly), 728 nucleotides long. RefSeq lists it as uncharacterized. The record is from RefSeq and is a predicted model, not a curated record. The transcript is spliced from 2 exons. Lineage: Eukaryota; Metazoa; Arthropoda; Insecta; Coleoptera; Lampyridae.